ACGAACGCUGGCGGCAUGCCUAACACAUGCAAGUCGAACGAGACCUUCGGGUCUAGUGGCGCACGGGUGCGUAACGCGUGGGAACCUGCCCUUAGGUUCGGAAUAACUCCCCGAAAGGGGUGCUAAUACCGGAUAAUGUCUUCGGACCAAAGAUUUAUCGCCUUUGGAUGGGCCCGCGUUGGAUUAGCUAGUUGGUAGGGUAAAAGCCUACCAAGGCGACGAUCCAUAGCUGGUCUGAGAGGAUGAUCAGCCACACUGGGACUGAGACACGGUCCAGACUCCUACGGGAGGCAGCAGUGGGGAAUAUUGGACAAUGGGCGAAAGCCUGAUCCAGCAAUGCCGCGUGAGUGAUGAAGGCCUUAGGGUUGUAAAGCUCUUUUACCCGGGAUGAUAAUGACAGUACCGGGAGAAUAAGCUCCGGCUAACUCCGUG
This 432-nucleotide ribosomal RNA is filed under the name uncultured bacterium. Its description in RNAcentral is "partial 16S ribosomal RNA". It matches the Rfam family "Bacterial small subunit ribosomal RNA", at positions 29 to 507 of the family's 1533-position model. The record is from RNAcentral.